Gasterosteus aculeatus aculeatus (three-spined stickleback) is the source of this 750-nucleotide long non-coding RNA. The record is from Ensembl. NCBI's taxonomy places the organism in Eukaryota, Metazoa, Chordata, Actinopteri, Perciformes, Gasterosteidae.
GAAUGUCCUUCAACUGAACCGAAAAUAUAGCUACUUGAAAGACCAAAGUAAACUCCUCUGUGAUGCUCUGCUGGUGCUGCAUGGAGAGUUACAAAAUCUCAGGGGGACAGGUCAGGACGCAACCCACUCGCCGAGUGUGAAGUGUUUGAAUCGGGUGAUGAAUGGAUCGCUCUCCUCAACGGACACCAGGUUCAAAGCAGGACGACAGAAAGCCGAAGGAAUCAACGGCGUUGAGGAGGAACACUGCAGGUUUACCACACCAGACGUUCCAUGUUAAAAAAAAAACAACAGAAAAGGCUCAAAUUGUUUUCAAAAACUACUGCAAUCUCAACCUUUAAGUGUCACGUCGAUUGAAAACACACAUCGAUGAAAGGCAAUCCAACGGGUUAUUCAGAUGCACAGAGAUUAUGUAACCAUUUGGCCCCUAUAUACGGCGCCGUCCUCCUCUUCAAAAUGCUCAACCUGCACAAUCUCUCAGGGGUGUGAUGAGAUUCAGUGUGACUAUCACAGCAACAUGACACUUCUCUGUGACUUCAUGCAUUAAAACAUGAGUGAGCGAUCACAGGUGACAACAUGAUGCAGCCAGAGGUGGAUGAUGGAGUGAAACGCAGGAAAUCCAAAGCUUUUAUCUUUUAUUUAGCUCACAGAUUUAUGGCCUUCUGCUCUCGCUGCUUGGAGGAAACGUUAUUUAUGCUCAACCCUUCAUUCAGUCUCACUUUGGAUUAAUUCUUAAGGACUGUAGUCGGCUUC